RNAcentral lists this ribosomal RNA (922 nucleotides) under uncultured archaeon. RNAcentral describes it as "bacterial SSU rRNA". It matches the Rfam family "Archaeal small subunit ribosomal RNA", at positions 7 to 937 of the family's 1478-position model. The record is from RNAcentral.
GUGGAUCCCGCCGGAGGUCACUGCUAUUGGAGUUCGAUUAAGCCAUGCGAGUCAAGAGUUCUUCGUGAACUCGGCGGACUGCUCAGUAACACGUGGGUAAUCUGCCCUCGGGUCAGGGAUAACCCCGGGAAACUGGGAAUAAUACCUGAUAGGUGAAGAUGUCUGGAACGAUACUUCGCCCAAAGUUCCGGCGCCCGAGGAUGAGCCUGCGGCCGAUUAGGUAGUUGGCGGUGUAAGGGACCACCAAGCCCGUGAUCGGUACGGGUGUUGAGAGACAUAGCCCGGAGAUGGGGGCUGAGACACGGCCCCAGGCCCUACGGGGCGCAGCAGGCGCGAAAACUACGCAAUGCGCGAAAGCGUGACGUGGGAACUCCAAGUGCCUUGCCUUAGGGUAAGGCUUUUAAUUAGUGUAAGUAGCUAAAAGAAUAAGGGCUGGGUAAGACCGGUGCCAGCCGCCGCGGUAACACCGGCAGCCCAAGUGGUGACCGUUUUUAUUGGGCCUAAAGCGUUCGUAGCCGGUUUGGUAAGUCUUUGGGUAAAUCCUCCAGCUUAACUGAAGGAAUUCCGAAGAUACUGCCAGACUUGGAGUUGAGAGAGGUCAGAGGUACCUCCGGGGUAGGGGUGAAAUCCUAUAAUCCUGGGGGGACCACCAGUGGCGAAGGCGUCUGACUAGAGCAAGCUCGACGGUGAGGGACGAAAGCCAGGGGCGCGAACGGGAUUAGAUACCCCGGUAGUCCUGGCUGUAAACGCUGCGCGCUAGGUGUUGCAUGCUCUACGAGGGCGUGCAGUGCCGAAGAGAAGUUGAUAAGCGUGCCGCCUGGGAAGUAUUACCGCAAGGUAGAAACUUAAAGGAAUUGGCGGGGGAGCACCACAAGGGGUGGAGUAUGCGGUUCAAUUGGAUUCAACGCCGGAAAGGGGGAAU